UUCGGAUUGUAGUCUGCAACUCGACUACAUGAAGCUGAAAUCGCUAGUAAUCGCAGAUCAGAAUGCUGCGGUAAAUACGUUCCCGGGUCUUGUACACACCGCCCGUCACACCAUGGGAGUCGGAAAUGCCCGAAGCCGGUGACCAAACCAAUAAGGAAGGAGCCGUCGAAGGCAGGUCUGAUAACUGGGGUGAAGUCGUAACAAGGUAGC
This 210-nucleotide ribosomal RNA is filed under the name uncultured bacterium. RNAcentral describes it as "partial 16S ribosomal RNA". It matches the Rfam family "Bacterial small subunit ribosomal RNA", at positions 1292 to 1500 of the family's 1533-position model. The record is from RNAcentral.